UGGGGAAUUUUGGACAAUGGGCGAAAGCCUGAUCCAGCAAUGCCGCGUGUGUGAAGAAGGCCUUCGGGUUGUAAAGCACUUUUGUCCGGAAAGAAAUCCUUGGCUCUAAUACAGUCGGGGGAUGACGGUACCGGAAGAAUAAGCACCGGCUAACUACGUGCCAGCAGCCGCGGUAAUACGUAGGGUGCAAGCGUUAAUCGGAAUUACUGGGCGUAAAGCGUGCGCAGGCGGUUUGCUAAGACCGAUGUGAAAUCCCCGGGCUAACCUGGGAACUGCAUUGGUGACUGGCAGGCUAGAGUAUGGCAGAGGGGGGUAGAAUUCCACGUGUAGCAGUGAAAUGCGUAGAGAUGUGGAGGAAUACCGAUGGCGAAGGCAGCCCCCUGGGCCAAUACUGACGCUCAUGCACGAAAGCGUGGGGAGCAAAACAGGAUUAGAUACCCUGGUAGUCCACGCCCUAAACGAUGUCAACUAGUUGUUGGGGGAUUCAUUUUCCUUAGUAACGUAGCUAACGCGUGAAGUUGACCGCCUGGGGAGUACGGUCGCAAGAUUAAAACUUAAAGGAAUUGACGGGGUCAUAGCUGUUUCCU
RNAcentral lists this ribosomal RNA (587 nucleotides) under uncultured bacterium. RNAcentral's name for it is "partial 16S ribosomal RNA". It matches the Rfam family "Bacterial small subunit ribosomal RNA", at positions 355 to 1375 of the family's 1533-position model. The record is from RNAcentral.